This 759-nucleotide long non-coding RNA is filed under the name Ananas comosus (pineapple). Its description in RNAcentral is "long non-coding RNA (ACOM_LNC015404)". Lineage: Eukaryota; Viridiplantae; Streptophyta; Magnoliopsida; Poales; Bromeliaceae. The record is from RNAcentral.
UAAAACAAUCCUAAUCAUAAUCAAAAUACAAUCCUAAUAGGUCUCAUGUUGACCGUAAAAUUUUGAGGCCGGUAAUUAUAAUCCAUAAUAAGCCCAUUCAUAAAUGUGAGUUAGUAGGCCUCAUUAAAACCCUUUAAAAUUUCAGACCUAUACAAUAAUUUGGGCCUCAUUCCAGCCCAUUAAAUAUUAUCAUUGAGUCCAAUAAAUUAAAACGGGCCUGAUCAACGACGGCCCAUAUCCACACCCUAUAAAAUAUCUAUUUGAAAUUCAAUUUUAAACCACAACCCAUUCAAAAUUUAAUUUUGAAUUUCGAAUCCCCAACCAACUCCAACCAUCCUACAACCCAUUCAAAAUUCAAUUUUGAAUUUCAAAUCCCCAACAAACUCCAACCAUCCAACAACCCAUUCAACAUCCAAUUUUGAAUUUCGAAUCCCCAACUAACUCCAACCAUCCAACAACCUAAUCAAAAUCCAAUUUUGAAUUUCGAAUCUCCAACCAACUCCAACCAUCCAACAACCCAUUCAAAAUCCAAUUUUGAAUUUUGAAUCUCCAACCAACUCCAACCAUCCAACAACUGAUUCAAAAUUCAAUUUUGAAUUUCGAAUCCCCAAUCCCAACCAACCACAACAACCUAUUUAAAAUUCAAUUUCGAAUUUCGAAUUUCGAAUCUCUAACUGACUCCUCAAAAUAUCUCUCGCCACCCCUCCCAUUAUAAAUAUGAGAAUCAAAAUCAAAUGUCGGACGAUAGACGGAGAAGAG